This 422-nucleotide ribosomal RNA is filed under the name uncultured eukaryote. Its description in RNAcentral is "bacterial SSU rRNA". It matches the Rfam family "Eukaryotic small subunit ribosomal RNA", at positions 592 to 1018 of the family's 1831-position model. The record is from RNAcentral.
CAAUAGCGUAUAUUAAAGUUGUUGCAGUUAAAAAGCUCGUAGUUGGACUUCUGGCUUGGUGAGGUGGUCCGCCGCAAGGUGUGCACUGUUUUGUCGAGCCUUCUUCUCGUAGUUGGUGGGUGCACUUAACUGGGCGCCUAUUGAAUAUGGGACCUUUACUUUGAAAAAAUUAGAGUGUUCAAAGCAGGCCUUCGCUUGAAUACAUUAGCAUGGAAUAAUAGAAUAGGUACUUUGGUUCUUAUUUUGUUUGGUUUCUAGGACCGAAGUAAUGAUUAAUAGGGACAGUUGGGGGCAUUAGUAUUAACACGUCAGAGGUGAAAUUCUUGGAUUGUGUUACGACGAACUACUGCGAAAGCAUUUGCCAAGGAUGUUUUCAUUGAUCAAGAACGAAAGUGCGGGGAUCGAAGACGAUCAGAUACCGU